Molecule: transfer RNA, 86 nt
Filed under: Butyricicoccus porcorum
Lineage: Bacteria; Bacillati; Bacillota; Clostridia; Eubacteriales; Butyricicoccaceae
Also listed under: 3 other names
Description: tRNA-Leu
Rfam family: tRNA
About the family: Transfer RNA (tRNA) molecules are approximately 80 nucleotides in length.
Source: RNAcentral
GCAGAUGUGGCGGAAUGGCAGACGCGCUAGUUUCAGGUACUAGUGUUCGCAAGGACAUGGGGGUUCAAGUCCCCCCAUCUGCACCA